GAUGAACGCUGGCGGCGUGCCUAAUACAUGCAAGUCGAGCGAACAGACGAGGAGCUUGCUCCUCUGACGUUAGCGGCGGACGGGUGAGUAACACGUGGAUAACCUACCUAUAAGACUGGGAUAACUUCGGGAAACCGGAGCUAAUACCGGAUAAUAUAUUGAACCGCAUGGUUCAAUAGUGAAAGACGGAUUUGCUGUCACUUAUAGAUGGAUCCGCGCCGCAUUAGCUAGUUGGUAAGGUAACGGCUUACCAAGGCAACGAUGCGUAGCCGACCUGAGAGGGUGAUCGGCCACCCUGGAACUGAGACACGGUCCAGACUCCUACGGGAGGCAGCAGUAGGGAAUCUUCCGCAAUGGGCGAAAGCCUGACGGAGCAACGCCGCGUGAGUGAUGAAGGUCUUCGGAUCGUAAAACUCUGUUAUUAGGGAAGAACAAAUGUGUAAGUAACUAUGCACGUCUUGACGGUACCUAAUCAGAAAGCCACGGCUAACUACGUG
This 497-nucleotide ribosomal RNA is filed under the name uncultured bacterium. Its description in RNAcentral is "partial 16S ribosomal RNA". It matches the Rfam family "Bacterial small subunit ribosomal RNA", at positions 28 to 507 of the family's 1533-position model. The record is from RNAcentral.